GACGAACGCUGGCGGCGUGCUUAACACAUGCAAGUCGAACGGUAAGGCCCUUCGGGGUACACGAGUGGCGAACGGGUGGGUAACACGUGGGUGAUCUGCCCUGCACUUCGGGAUAAGCCUGGGAAACUGGUCUAAUACCGGAUAGGACCACUGCCUGCAUGGGUGGUGGUGGAAAGCUUUUGCGGUGUGGGAUGGGCCCGCGGCCUAUCAGCUUGUUGGUGGGGUGAUGGCCUACCAAGGCGACGACGGGUAGCCGGCCUGAGAGGGUGACCGGCCACACUGGGACUGAGAUACGGCCCAGACUCCUACGGGAGGCAGCAGUGGGGAAUAUUGCACAAUGGGCGCAAGCCUGAUGCAGCGACGCCGCGUGAGGGAUGACGGCCUUCGGGUUGUAAACCUCUUUCAGCACCGACGAAGCGCAAGUGACGGUAGGUGCAGAAGAAGGACCGGCCAACUACGUGCCAGCCGCCGCAGUAA
This 477-nucleotide ribosomal RNA is filed under the name uncultured bacterium. RNAcentral describes it as "partial 16S ribosomal RNA". It matches the Rfam family "Bacterial small subunit ribosomal RNA", at positions 28 to 523 of the family's 1533-position model. The record is from RNAcentral.